GAGAGCGACGGUAUGAGUUUUCACUCAUUUUGUUCAGCUUUUCCAAGGAAUGUUUUUUUGUAAGACUCAUCAUCGAUCCAAGCACAUUUGGAAACACAGGAUGUUUCACA
Sapajus apella (tufted capuchin) is the source of this 110-nucleotide long non-coding RNA. RefSeq lists it as uncharacterized. NCBI's taxonomy places the organism in Eukaryota, Metazoa, Chordata, Mammalia, Primates, Cebidae. The transcript has 3 exons. The record is from RefSeq and is a predicted model, not a curated record.